Cyclopterus lumpus (lumpfish) is the source of this 913-nucleotide long non-coding RNA. RefSeq lists it as uncharacterized. The record is from RefSeq and is a predicted model, not a curated record. NCBI's taxonomy places the organism in Eukaryota, Metazoa, Chordata, Actinopteri, Perciformes, Cyclopteridae. The transcript has 3 exons.
CAACCAAUUUCACCUUCCAGACUUCCCAGGAUCAUUACUUUUUUUAUUAAGCAACACAUUUAACCUUUUUUUGUCAUGUUGAGAAGAAGUCUUCGCCUGCUGCGAGCAGGCUAUUACAAUGCGGAUGGAAGUCCAACAGUUUCCUAUAAGGAGAGAUUGUUCAAGGUUUUUAAGAGACGAAAACAGAACAAAAUACCUCCAGUUCACCAGGAGGAAAUGAAUUAUGAGUUGAUGGACAACCAAGAACAACUGGAGAGGUUUACUAAAACCGAAGAAUCAACACAUUUCAACUCCAUCUACAGGACAGACGUUAUAGUUGCAUCCAACACCAAAAGACGUGUUUUAACUACAGUCAAGGAACAGUGUAUUACAACUACAGACUGUUCCAGCACUGAUAGGCAACGAGAAAUGACGUAUAAUGAACUCUCGGUGAUCAAAAUAACUGACAGGACAACAGUUGUUGAGCCAAGACGUAGCAACACUCUUGGCAAUAUAUUGAAAUGUUUCCUCGUCUUGUUUCUUCUGGUGUUUGGAUUCACACUGUAUACACAAUACCCAUAGACGGUCCAGCAGGAGGUGCAGAAAGAGUGGAUAAACAUGUUUAAUCCCCUGGUAGGCAUGAUGCCAAACUAUUUUAAAUGGCACGGGUGAGUCAUCUUCAUCAUCUUUAUAACCAUUCAACAACACAGAUGCCAGGAGCAUCUGAAAUUCAAACAAAAUGGCAAAUGGGGAUGCAUGGAUAACUCCUACCUUGAUAGUUUCAGGGUUCAAGGUAAGUAUAGAAGGUCAAUCAAUUGUUUCCCUGGCGGAAAUCUCACCCGGUCACUCCGGGGAGGUAACAACCUGAUCGGCACCAUGGAGCGUCUGGCUAAACUCCAGCAACCAUCCACACACGUCUUAGGGCCAAAUAUCC